Molecule: ribosomal RNA, 468 nt
Filed under: uncultured bacterium
Lineage: Bacteria
Description: partial 16S ribosomal RNA
Rfam family: Bacterial small subunit ribosomal RNA
Source: RNAcentral
GACGAACGCUGGCGGCGUGCUUAACACAUGCAAGUCGAACGGACAGGCCCUGCUUUUGUGGGGUGCUCGAGUGGCGAACGGGUGAGUAACACGUGAGUAACCUGCCCUUGACUUUGGGAUAACUUCAGGAAACUGGGGCUAAUACCGGAUAGGAGCUCCUGCUGCAUGGUGGGGGUUGGAAAGUUUCGGCGGUUGGGGAUGGACUCGCGGCUUAUCAGCUUGUUGGUGGGGUAGUGGCUUACCAAGGCUUUGACGGGUAGCCGGCCUGAGAGGGUGACCGGCCACAUUGGGACUGAGAUACGGCCCAGACUCCUACGGGAGGCAGCAGUGGGGAAUAUUGCACAAUGGGCGGAAGCCUGAUGCAGCAACGCCGCGUGCGGGAUGACGGCCUUCGGGUUGGAAACCGCUUUCGCCUGUGACGAAGCGUGAGUGACGGUAAUGGGUAAAGAAGCACCGGCUAACUACGUG